UAAAGACAAUAGGUGGAAAGUGUCUAGCA
This 29-nucleotide non-coding RNA is filed under the name Homo sapiens (human). The record is from RNAcentral. Lineage: Eukaryota; Metazoa; Chordata; Mammalia; Primates; Hominidae.